Molecule: long non-coding RNA, 594 nt
Organism: Lolium rigidum
Lineage: Eukaryota; Viridiplantae; Streptophyta; Magnoliopsida; Poales; Poaceae
Exons: 3
Source: RefSeq, a predicted model, not a curated record
UAUACUGACCCACUAAUAAUUUUACUUUUACAUAAUACUGUUAGUCAAAAUAGUAGCAACUAAGAACAUAUCAUCUAAACUUGAAUUUAAGCUUGUUGAUAUCAGGAUUUUGCAUGGCAUGAAAGGUCACAUCAUAUAUGAUGAUGAAUACUGCAGAUUUGAAAUUCUGUGUGCCACUAUUGUAGGGAAAGUGUCAAGAAUAUGUAGAAGCUACAUGAAUUGGCACAAAGGCAAUUGAUUGAGCUUCGUACUAUCAGAGGACUGGGCAGCUAAGGAAGCUGAAGUGAGCCUUCUAAUGGUUGAAGUUAAACGCGCUCAAUCACGAUAAGUUAGCCUUGACUAUGUAAGUAUCAUUAAAUAACCAUGAGCAGCUGUACUAUCAGGUUUUCUUUAUUUUGGCUGCAGGGAGAUUUAUGGUCUCAGUAUCAGACAACAAAUGAAGACACAAGUAAUAAUAGAUGCUCGGAGAUGAGAUUGGGAAGGGGGCGUACGGGCGCGUCUACAAGGGGCUCGACCUGGAGAACGGCGACUUCGUGGCCAUCAAGCAGGUCUCGCUCGAGAACAUCCCUCAGGAGGAUCUCAACAUCAUCAUGG